CCUACGGGAGGCAGCAGUGGGGAAUAUUGGACAAUGGGGGGAACCCUGAUCCAGCCAUGCCGCGUGUGUGAAGAAGGCCCUCGGGUUGUAAAGCACUUUCAGUGAGGAAGAACGCCUGGUGGUUAAUACCCAUCAGGAAAGACAUCACUCACAGAAGAAGCACCGGCUAACUCCGUGCCAGCAGCCGCGGUAAUACGGAGGGUGCGAGCGUUAAUCGGAAUUACUGGGCGUAAAGCGCGCGUAGGUGGCUUGAUAAGCCGGUUGUGAAAGCCCCGGGCUCAACCUGGGAACGGCAUCCGGAACUGUCAAGCUAGAGUGCAGGAGAGGAAGGUAGAAUUCCCGGUGUAGCGGUGAAAUGCGUAGAGAUCGGGAGGAAUACCAGUGGCGAAGGCGGCCUUCUGGACUGAUACUGACACUGAGGUGCGAAAGCGUGGGUAGCAAACAGGAUUAGAUACCCCUGUAGUC
This 465-nucleotide ribosomal RNA is filed under the name Vreelandella stevensii. RNAcentral's name for it is "partial 16S ribosomal RNA". It matches the Rfam family "Bacterial small subunit ribosomal RNA", at positions 338 to 795 of the family's 1533-position model. Lineage: Bacteria; Pseudomonadati; Pseudomonadota; Gammaproteobacteria; Oceanospirillales; Halomonadaceae. The record is from RNAcentral.